AUUGAACGCUGGCGGCAUGCCUUACACAUGCAAGUCGAACGGCAGCACGGGAGCUUGCUCCUGGUGGCGAGUGGCGAACGGGUGAGUAAUACAUCGGAACGUACCCAGUAGUGGGGGAUAACGCACCGAAAGGUGCGCUAAUACCGCAUACGACCUAAGGGUGAAAGCGGGGGACCGUAAGGCCUCGCGCUAUUGGAGCGGCCGAUGUCUGAUUAGCUAGUUGGCGGGGUAAGAGCCCACCAAGGUGACGAUCAGUAGCUGGUCUGAGAGGAUGAUCCGCCACACUGGAACUGAGACACGGUCCAGACUCCUACGGGAGGCUG
RNAcentral lists this ribosomal RNA (323 nucleotides) under uncultured bacterium. RNAcentral's name for it is "bacterial SSU rRNA". It matches the Rfam family "Bacterial small subunit ribosomal RNA", at positions 30 to 351 of the family's 1533-position model. The record is from RNAcentral.